This 482-nucleotide ribosomal RNA is filed under the name uncultured bacterium. RNAcentral describes it as "partial 16S ribosomal RNA". It matches the Rfam family "Bacterial small subunit ribosomal RNA", at positions 28 to 523 of the family's 1533-position model. The record is from RNAcentral.
GACGAACGCUGGCGGCGUGCUUAACACAUGCAAGUCGAACGAUGAAGAAGAGCUUGCUCUUCGGAUUAGUGGCGAACGGGUGAGUAACACGUGACUAACCUGCCCCUUUCUCUGGGAUAACGCUCCGAAAGGAGUGCUAAUACCGGAUACUCACAUCGAGGCACAUGCCUUGAUGUGGAAAGUUUUUCGGAAAGGGAUGGAGUCGCGGCCUAUCAGCUUGUUGGUGAGGUAACGGCUCACCAAGGCGACAACGGGUAGCCGGCCUGAGAGGGCGACCGGCCACACUGGGACUGAGACACGGCCCAGACUCCUACGGGAGGCAGCAGUGGGGAAUAUUGCACAAUGGGCGAAAGCCUGAUGCAGCGACGCCGCGUGAGGGAUGAAGGUCUUCGGAUUGUAAACCUCUUUCAGUAGGGACGAAGCGAAAGUGACGGUACCUAAAGAAGAAGCACCGGCUAACUACGUGCCAGCAGCCGCCGUAA